GGGCUGCUGAGGCGGCAGAGUGGACCUGAGGAAGGAUUCAGGAGAGAUUCGCGGCUGACCUUCAGGAGUAAAGACCACGCGCAAGGGCAAAGCCUGAGGUUCAUCGAGUGGUUGAGCAUGACUGUGUCUCCUUUUCUCUGGUGCUUUAGUAAGGAGCUGGCUUCACAGCAGAGCAGCCGUGUUCCAACAGGGGACACUGGUGUUGCAGGAAGUGUCUCAACAAGUGUGCCACAUCCCAGCCCCAAGACUAAGCUUUAAUCUGUUCAUCUACGUGGCUCUCCGAAAACAAAUGAAGUCAACUCAUGCAUCAGGACAUUCUACAGUUAGCUAAGUGCAGUGAUCCAUUUUAAACCCACACCCAGACCUACACUAAGUAUAAAAACUAACACAUAUACUUCACUCUUUCAACUUCAAAUGAUAGUUAAUAUUCAUGAUAGAGAAACAGGUGAAGCUGUUCUUUAAUUGACCUGCUCUGUAACAGAAGGUCUUCAUCUGGAUUCUGCCCAUCUUCGGGAUCAGUGCACCAUACAGAUUUUCUGCCAGUGCCCUGGUACGGCAGGGACAGUCAGGCUCCCUGGCCCUCACAUGGAGCAGCAGAGGCCGGCGAUGUCCUCACAGAGUUCGGAGC
Ochotona princeps (American pika) is the source of this 628-nucleotide long non-coding RNA. RefSeq lists it as uncharacterized. The transcript is spliced from 3 exons. The record is from RefSeq and is a predicted model, not a curated record. Lineage: Eukaryota; Metazoa; Chordata; Mammalia; Lagomorpha; Ochotonidae.